This 253-nucleotide ribosomal RNA is filed under the name uncultured bacterium. Its description in RNAcentral is "partial 16S ribosomal RNA". It matches the Rfam family "Bacterial small subunit ribosomal RNA", at positions 524 to 776 of the family's 1533-position model. The record is from RNAcentral.
UACGUAGGGGGCAAGCGUUGUCCGGAUUUAUUGGGCGUAAAGAGCGUGUAGGCGGUUUGGUAGGUCCGCUGUGAAAACUCGAGGCUCAACCUCGAGACGCCGGUGGAAACCAUCAGACUAGAGUCCGGAAGAGGAGAGUGGAAUUCCUGGUGUAGCGGUGAAAUGCGCAGAUAUCAGGAAGAACACCCGUGGCUAAGGCGGCUCUCUAGUACGUGACUGACGCUGAGACGCGAAAGCGUGGGGAUCGAACAGG